RNAcentral lists this ribosomal RNA (406 nucleotides) under uncultured bacterium. RNAcentral's name for it is "partial 16S ribosomal RNA". It matches the Rfam family "Bacterial small subunit ribosomal RNA", at positions 29 to 526 of the family's 1533-position model. The record is from RNAcentral.
AUUGAACGCUGGCGGCAGGCCUAACACAUGCAAGUCGAGCGAGCGGCGGACGGGAGAGUAAUGUCUGGGAAACUGCCUGAUGGAGGGGGAUAACUAGUGGACACGGGCGCUAAUACCGCAUACCAUCAGAUGUGCCCAGAUGGGUAUAGCUAGUAGGUGGGGGAAUGGCUCACCUAGGCGACGAUCCCUAGCUGGUCUGAGAGGAUGACCAGCCACACUGGAACGGAGAAACGGUCCAGACUCCUACGGGAGGCAGCAGUGGGGAAGAUUGCACAAUGGGCGCAAGCCUGAUGCAGCCAUGCCGCGUGUGUGAAGAAGGCCUUAGGGUUGUAAAGCACUGUCAGCGAGGAGGCGUUACUCGCAGAAGAAGCACCGGCUAACGCCGUGCCAGCAGCCGCGGUAAUAC